AUUGAACGCUGGCGGAAUGCUUUACACAUGCAAGUCGAACGGAAGAAAGGGGGCAACCCUGGUGGCGAGAGGAGAACGGGUGAGUAAUACAUCGGAACGUGCCCAGUCGUGGGGGAGAAAGUAGCGAAAGUUACGCUAAUACCGCAUACGAUCUACGGAUGAAAGCGGGGGACCGUAAGGCCUCGCGCGAUUGGAGCGGCCGAUGUCAGAUUAGGUAGUUGGUGAGGUAAAGGCUCACCAAGCCGACGAUCUGUAGCUGGUCUAAGAGGACGACCAGCCACACUGGGACUGGGACACGGCCCAGACUCCUACGGGAGGCAGCAGUGGGGAAUUUUGGACAAUGGGCGCAAGCCUGAUCCAGCCAUUCCGCGUGCAGGACGAAGGCCUUCGGGUUGUAAACUGCUUUUGUACGGAACGAAAAGGCUCUGGUUAAUACCUGGGGCUCAUGACGGUACCGUAAGAAUAAGCACCGGCUAACUACGUGCCAGCAGCCGCCGUAA
RNAcentral lists this ribosomal RNA (500 nucleotides) under uncultured bacterium. RNAcentral describes it as "partial 16S ribosomal RNA". It matches the Rfam family "Bacterial small subunit ribosomal RNA", at positions 29 to 523 of the family's 1533-position model. The record is from RNAcentral.